RNAcentral lists this ribosomal RNA (425 nucleotides) under uncultured bacterium. RNAcentral's name for it is "bacterial SSU rRNA". It matches the Rfam family "Bacterial small subunit ribosomal RNA", at positions 506 to 927 of the family's 1533-position model. The record is from RNAcentral.
CGCCAGCAGCCGCGGUCAUACGUAGGGUGCAAGCAUUAUCCGGAGUGACUGGGCGUAAAGAGUUGCGUAGGUGGUCAAGUUAGCGAAUAGUGAAAUCUGGUGGCUCAACCAUUCAGACUAUUGUUCGAACUGCUUGACUCGAGAGUAGCAGAGGUAACUGGAAUUUCUAGUGUAGGAGUGAAAUCCGUAGAUAUUAGAAGGAACACCAAUGGCGUAGGCAGGUUACUAGGCUAUUUCUGACACUAAGGCACGAAAGCGUGGGGAGCGAACCGGAUUAGAUACCCGGGUAGUCCACGCCGUAAACGAUGGAUACUAGCUGUUGGAGGUAUCGACCCCUUCAGUAGCGAAGCUAACGCGUUAAGUAUCCCGCCUGUGGAGUACGGUCGCAAGACUAAAACAUAAAGGAAUUGACGGGGGCCCGCACA